This is a non-coding RNA of Oryzias latipes (Japanese medaka), 114 nucleotides long. The record is from Rfam. Lineage: Eukaryota; Metazoa; Chordata; Actinopteri; Beloniformes; Adrianichthyidae.
GUGGGCUACGGGGACAUGUACCCCGUGACCAUCGGGGGGAAGAUCGUGGGGUCGCUGUGCGCCAUUGCCGGCGUCCUGACCAUCGCUCUGCCGGUGCCGGUCAUCGUUUCCAAC